UACGUAGGGGGCAAGCGUUGUCCGGAAUUAUUGGGCGUAAAGGGCUCGUAGGCGGUUUGUCGCGUCGGGAGUGAAAACUCAGGGCUCAACCCUGAGCGUGCUUCCGAUACGGGCAGACUAGAGGUAUGCAGGGGAGAACGGAAUUCCUGGUGUAGCGGUGAAAUGCGCAGAUAUCAGGAAGAACACCGAUGGCGAAGGCAGAUCUCUGGGCCGUAACUGACGCUGAGGAGCGAAAGCAUGGGGAGCGAACAGG
This 253-nucleotide ribosomal RNA is filed under the name uncultured bacterium. Its description in RNAcentral is "partial 16S ribosomal RNA". It matches the Rfam family "Bacterial small subunit ribosomal RNA", at positions 524 to 776 of the family's 1533-position model. The record is from RNAcentral.